CUCGUAGGCGGUUCGAUAAGUCGGGUGUGAAACCUCCAGGCUCAACCUGGAGACGCCACCCGAUACUGUCGUGACUAGAGUCCAGUAGGGGAGCGUGGAAUUCCUGGUGUAGCGGUGAAAUGCGCAGAUAUCAGGAGGAACACCAGCGGCGAAGGCGGCGCUCUGGGCUGGAACUGACGCUGAGGAGCGAAAGCGUGGGGAGCGAACA
Molecule: ribosomal RNA, 208 nt
Filed under: uncultured bacterium
Lineage: Bacteria
Description: partial 16S ribosomal RNA
Rfam family: Bacterial small subunit ribosomal RNA
Source: RNAcentral